CUGGCCCUAAAUCGAGGCUGGCAACUUCGUGAUGCUGUUGGUUUCAAGCAGGAGCUUAAAGAGAUGUCUUUCUACGAUCUGUUGGCCAUUUCAGAACUUGGGCAGUGAAAUGGUCAGUUCAUUAGAAAGAAACAGCU
Molecule: small nucleolar RNA, 137 nt
Organism: Cavia aperea (Brazilian guinea pig)
Lineage: Eukaryota; Metazoa; Chordata; Mammalia; Rodentia; Caviidae
Source: Ensembl